This 497-nucleotide ribosomal RNA is filed under the name uncultured bacterium. Its description in RNAcentral is "partial 16S ribosomal RNA". It matches the Rfam family "Bacterial small subunit ribosomal RNA", at positions 28 to 507 of the family's 1533-position model. The record is from RNAcentral.
GAUGAACGCUGGCGGCGUGCCUAAUACAUGCAAGUCGAGCGAACAGACGAGGAGCUUGCUCCUCUGACGUUAGCGGCGGGCGGGUGAGUAACACGUGGAUAACCUACCUAUAAGACUGGGAUAACUUCGGGAAACCGGAGCUAAUACCGGAUAAUAUAUUGAACCGCAUGGUUCAAUAGUGAAAGACGGUUUUGCUGUCACUUAUAGAUGGUUCCGCGCCGCAUUAGCUAGUUGGUAAGGUAACGGCUUACCAAGGCAACGAUGCGUAGCCGACCUGAGAGGGUGAUCGGCCACACUGGAACUGAGACACGGUCCAGACUCCUACGGGAGGCAGCAGUAGGGAAUCUUCCGCAAUGGGCGAAAGCCUGACGGAGCAACGCCGCGUGAGUGAUGAAGGUCUUCGGAUCGUAAAACUCUGUUAUUAGGGAAGAACAGAUGUGUAAGUAACUAUGCACGUCUUGACGGUACCUAAUCAGAAAGCCACGGCUAACUACGUG